RNAcentral lists this ribosomal RNA (33 nucleotides) under Ascaridia galli. Its description in RNAcentral is "partial 28S ribosomal RNA". The record is from RNAcentral. Lineage: Eukaryota; Metazoa; Nematoda; Chromadorea; Rhabditida; Ascaridiidae.
UUGACCUCAGCUCAGUCGUGAAUACCCGCUGAA